AUGGCUGCACACAAAGAGUUGUGGUCAAUGGCUCAAUGUCCAGCUGGAGACCAGUAACGAGUGGUGUCUCUCAGGGAUUGGUGUUGGGACCGGUCUUGUUCCACGUCUUUGUCGCUGACAUGGACAGUGGGACUGAGUGCGCCCUCAGCAAGUUUGCUGAUGACACCAAGCUGUGUGGUUCGGUUGAUACCCUGGAGGGAAGGAAUGCCAUCCAGAGGGACCUUGACACGCUUGUGAGGUGGGCUGAUGCCAACCUCAUGAAGUUUAACCAUGACAAGUGCAAGGUCCUACACCUGGGUCAGAGCAAUCCCAGGCACAGCUACAGGUUGGGCAGAGAAGAGAUUCAGAGCAGCCCAAGGAGAAGGACUUGGGGGUGUUGGUUGAUGAGAAAAUGAACAUGAGCCGGCUUCAGUGAGCGCUUGCAGCCCAGAAAGCCAACCGUAUCCUGGGCUGCAUCAAAAGGAGUGUGACCAGCAGGUCGAAGGAGGUGAUCCUGCCCUUUACUCUGCUCUUGUGAGACCUCACUUGCAGUAUUGUGUGCAGUUCUGGUGUCCUCAACAUGAAAAGGACAUGGAACUGUUGGAACAAGUCCAGAGGAGGCCACGAGGAUGAUCAGGGGACUGGAGCACCUCCCGUAUGAAGACAGGCUGAGAAAGUUGGGGCUUUUCAGCCUGGAGAAGAGAAGGCUGCGUGGAGACGUCAUAGCAGCCUUCCAGGAUCUGAAGGGGGGCCUCUAGGGAUGCUGGGAAUGGACUCUUCAUUAGGGACUGUAGUGAUAGGACAAGGGGUAACGGGUUAAAACUUAAACAGGGGAAGUUUAGAUUGGAUAUAAGGAAGAAGUUCUUUACUGUAAGGGUGGUGAGGCACUGGAAUGGGUUGCCCAGGGAAUUCUGAAUGCUCCAUCCCUGGCAGUAUUCAAGGCCAGGCUGGACAGGACCUUGAGCAACUUCGGUUAGUGGAAGGUGUCCCUGCCCAUGGCAGGGGGGUUGGAACUAGAUGAUCUUAAGGUUC
Pezoporus flaviventris is the source of this 1011-nucleotide long non-coding RNA. RefSeq lists it as uncharacterized. The record is from RefSeq and is a predicted model, not a curated record. The transcript is spliced from 3 exons. NCBI's taxonomy places the organism in Eukaryota, Metazoa, Chordata, Aves, Psittaciformes, Psittacidae.